Molecule: ribosomal RNA, 290 nt
Filed under: uncultured prokaryote
Description: partial 16S ribosomal RNA
Rfam family: Bacterial small subunit ribosomal RNA
Source: RNAcentral
UACGGAGGGGGUUAGCGUUGUUCGGAAUUACUGGGCGUAAAGCGCACGUAGGCGGAUCAGAAAGUUGGGGGUGAAAUCCCGGGGCUCAACCCCGGAACGGCCUCCAAAACUCCUGGUCUUGAGUUCGAGAGAGGUGAGUGGAAUUCCUAGUGUAGAGGUGAAAUUCGUAGAUAUUCGGAGGAACACCAGUGGCGAAGGCGGCUCACUGGCUCGAUACUGACGCUGAGGUGCGAAAGUGUGGGGAGCAAACAGGAUUAGAUACCCCCCGUAGUCCCUGAGCGGGCUGGCAA